GCCAGGCGUGGUGGCUCACGCCUGUAAUCCUGACACUUUGGGAGGCCGAGGCGGGAGGAUCACUUGAGCCCAGGAGUUGGAGACCAGCCUGGGCAACAUAGUAAGACCCUGUCUCUU
Molecule: small RNA, 117 nt
Filed under: Papio anubis (olive baboon)
Lineage: Eukaryota; Metazoa; Chordata; Mammalia; Primates; Cercopithecidae
Description: Metazoan signal recognition particle RNA (ENSPANG00000049149.1)
Source: Rfam by way of RNAcentral